This 465-nucleotide ribosomal RNA is filed under the name uncultured Streptococcus sp. RNAcentral describes it as "bacterial SSU rRNA". It matches the Rfam family "Bacterial small subunit ribosomal RNA", at positions 338 to 795 of the family's 1533-position model. The record is from RNAcentral. Lineage: Bacteria; Bacillati; Bacillota; Bacilli; Lactobacillales; Streptococcaceae.
CCUACGGGAGGCAGCAGUAGGGAAUCUUCGGCAAUGGACGGAAGUCUGACCGAGCAACGCCGCGUGAGUGAAGAAGGUUUUCGGAUCGUAAAGCUCUGUUGUAAGAGAAGAACAGGUGUGAGAGUGGAAAGUUCACACUGUGACGGUAUCUUACCAGAAAGGGACGGCUAACUACGUGCCAGCAGCCGCGGUAAUACGUAGGUCCCGAGCGUUGUCCGGAUUUAUUGGGCGUAAAGCGAGCGCAGGCGGUUAGAUAAGUCUGAAGUUAAAGGCUGUGGCUUAACCAUAGUACGCUUUGGAAACUGUUUAACUUGAGUGCAAGAGGGGAGAGUGGAAUUCCAUGUGUAGCGGUGAAAUGCGUAGAUAUAUGGAGGAACACCGGUGGCGAAAGCGGCUCUCUGGCUUGUAACUGACGCUGAGGCUCGAAAGCGUGGGGAGCAAACAGGAUUAGAUACCCCAGUAGUC